Molecule: ribosomal RNA, 3006 nt
Filed under: Candidatus Saccharimonadota bacterium
Lineage: Bacteria; Candidatus Saccharimonadota
Description: 23S ribosomal RNA
Rfam family: Bacterial large subunit ribosomal RNA
Source: RNAcentral
GUCUUUUUAUUAAGGCAGAUGGUGAAUGCCUUGGGGCAAGAAGCCGACGAAGGACGUGUGAGCCUGCGAUAAGCCUCGGUAAGCUGGCAAAAAGCGCUAUAGCCGGGGAUUUCCGAAUGGGGUAACCCACCGUUUUACGGUGCACUUAAGCCAAAUUCCCGCCUUUCGGUGGGAUACUAACUUAAGCUGCGGGAACUCAGCGAAGUGAAACAUCUCAGUAGCUGGAGGAAAAGAAAGAGAAGUCCGCUUUUAGCGGACGGUUCUCCAAACGCUUGGCGUUUGGAGAAUCUCGAUCCCCUCAGUAGCGGCGAGCGAAAGGGGGUUAGUCCAAACCCUUGAUUUUUCAAGGGGGUUGUGGGACCCGCGCAAUGCCUGACAAAAAGUAGGAGAAUGCUCUGGAAAGGGCGACCACAGAGGGUGAUAGUCCCGUAACCGAAACUUUUAAGUCAGCUAGCGGGCAUCCCGAGUACCACGGGAUAGGUGAAAGCCUGUGGGAAGCUAGCCAAACCACUGGNNGUGAACCAGUACCGUGAGGGAAAGGUGAAAAGAACCCCGGUGAGGGGAGUGAAAUAGAACCUAAAACCAUUUGCUGACAAGCAGACGGAGGUCGCCUUAGGCGACUGACGUCGUGCCUAUUGAAGAAUGACCCGAGGAGUUGUCGCCACUUUUGAGUUUAAGCAAGUCAAGCUUGUGUAAGCGUAGGGAAACCUAGUGCUAACUGCGCGUUUAAAAAGUGGUGGCAGACCCGAAGCCGAGUGAUCUAACCAUGGGCAGGGUGAACCCCGCCGAAAGGCGGGGGGAGGCCCGAACCGGUGUCUGGUACAAAAGGCUCGGAUGACCUGUGGUUAGGGGUAAUAUGCCAAUCGAACUCGGUGAUAGCUGGUUCUCCCCGAAAUGCAUUUAGGUGCAGCCUUGUAAAGUAGCGACGGGGGUAGAGCUACUGGAAGGGAUGUGGAGCCCGUGAGGGUAUCCCUCCCUACCAAACUCCGAAUACCGUCGUUUAAUUUACAGGAGUGAGCAGGCGGGAGCAAGUUCCGUCGUGCUAAAGGGAAACAACCCAGACCAUCGGCUAAGGUCCCUAAGUCGGAUUUAAGUGGGAAAGGUAGUGAAGUGACUGAGACACCCAGAAGGUAGGCCCAGAAGCAGCCAUCCUUGAAAGAGUGCGUAACAGCUCACUGGCUAAGUCACUUUGCGCCUAAAAUGUAACGGGGCUAAAAUCCGCACCGAAGCUGUGGCUCCGCCUUUGGCGGGGGGUAGGGGAGCGUUCCUGUAGCGCUGAAGUCACACCGUAAGGUGUGGUGGAGUAGCAGGAAGUGAGAAUCUCGGGAUGAGUAGCGUCGUUGGGUGAGAAUCCCAACCGCCUGAUGACUAAGGUUUCCUCCGCAAUGGUCGUCAUCGGAGGGUUAGUCGGCCCCUAAGCCGAGGGCGAAAGCCGUAGGUGAUGGGAAACGGGUUAAUAUUCCGGCACUUUCGUGGAGUCUCGAUGGGGUGACGCUUUCCAAAGUUACGAGCGUUGAGUGGCGUUUGGACGUUCUGCCCGUUUGAGGUGUGUGGUAGGAAAAUCCGCCACGCUUAAAACCAAGACGGGACGAAGAGUUCGCUACGGCGGGCAAUUCGUGAGGAUGGAGAGCCAAGAAAAACCUCUAAGGAUAGCUCCACGGAAUCCGUACCGCAAACCGACACAGGUAGUCUGGCUGAGAAGGCUAAGGCGAGCGAGUAAACCUUCCUUGAGGAACUCGGCAAAUUGGCCCCGUAACUUUGGGAGAAGGGGUGCCCUGUACCGCGAGGUCCAGGGUCGCAGUGACAAGGCUCAAGCGGCUGUUUAACAAAAACACAGGUCUCCGCUCAACCCGAAAGGGGAUGUAUGGGGGCUGACGCCUGCCCGGUGCCCGUCGGUUAAGGGGAGGGCUGAUCUUGUGCUUCGCACAAGAAGUUUCAAGUUAUCAAGUCACCAAUUAUCAAGUAUUUGUUAAUUGGAUAGAUGGGUAUUUGGAAUUUCUCGCGCGGAGCGCGAGUGAGGCUCAAACUUAAGCCCGGGUGAACGGCGGCCGUAACUAUGACGGUCCUAAGGUAGCGAAGUUCCUUGUCGGGUAAGUUCCGACGUGCAUGAACGGCGUAACGACUGGAGCACUGUCUCAAGGACGGACUCGGUGAAAUUGAAAUGGCUGUGAAGAUGCGCCUUACCCGCAGCAGGACAAAAAGACCCCGUGGAGCUUUACUGUAGCUUGACAUUGAGUUUGAAACUAAAGCUUGUGUAGCGUAGGAGGGAGCGGUUCGCCGCGCCAAUGAAACACCUCCCGGCUAUAUUUUCAACCCUUACGUUGGCCGUUACCCGGUCGACGGACAGUGUCUGGUGGGCAGUUUAACUGGGGCGGUUGCCUCGCAAAAGGUAACCGAGGCGCCCAAAGGUCGGCUUAGUCCCGAUGGACACGGGACUGUAAGUGUAAAGGCAUAAGCGGGCUUGACUGCGAGACCGACGGGUCGAGCAGGUGCGAAAGCAGGGCUUAGUGACCUGCACACCUCAAGUGGCGGAGUGUGCAACAACGGAUAAAAGCUACCCCGGGGAUAACAGGCUGGUCUCCCCCAAGAGUCCAUAUCGACGGGGAGGUUCGGCACCUCGAUGUCGGCUCGUCCUAUCCUGGGGCUGGAGAAGGUCCCAAGGGUUUGGCUGUUCGCCAAUUAAAAGGGCACGUGAGCUGGGUUCAGAACGUCGUGAGACAGUUCGGUCUCUAUCCGCUGUGGGCGUAUAACUCCCUGAGGGAUUUUCCUCCUAGUACGAGAGGACCGGAGGGAGCCAACCUCUGGUGUACCGGUUGUCGGACCACCGGCAUAAGAUACGCCGGGUAGCUACGUUGGCAUGGGAUAAGCGCUGAAAGCAUCUAAGCGCGAAGCCCACCCCAAGAUGAGGGAUAGACCCCUGGAAGACUACCAGGUUGAUAGACGGCAGGUGUAAGACCGGUAACGGUUUCAGCCGAGCCGUACUAAUAGGUCGUUUGACUCUUCUUU